AUACGUAGGGGGCGAGCGUUGUAAGGAAUGACUGGGCGUAAAGGGCGCGUAGGAGGCUUUGCAAGUCGGUAGUGGGAGUCAAUUUUUCAAGGAUGGAAGUGCUACAGAAACUGAGGAGCUUGAGUGCAGGAGAGGUUAUCGGAAUUCCCGGUGUAGCGGUGAAAUGCGUAGAGAUCUGGAUGAACACCGGUGGCGAAGGCGACAAUCUGGUCAGAAACGGACGCUGAGGUGCGAAAGCGUGGGGAGCAAACAAGAUUAUAUGCCCUUGUGGUCCACGCCGUAAACGAUGACGACUAGGUGUAGGGGUUAUCGACUCCCUCUGUGCCGCAGUUAACACAAUAAGUAGUACGCCUGGGGAGUACGGCCGCAAGGUUGAAACUCAAAGGAAUUGACGUUG
Molecule: ribosomal RNA, 397 nt
Filed under: uncultured bacterium
Lineage: Bacteria
Description: partial 16S ribosomal RNA
Rfam family: Bacterial small subunit ribosomal RNA
Source: RNAcentral